UACGAAGGGUGCAAACGUUGCUCGGAAUUAUUGGGCGUAAAGCGCGCGCAGGCGGUCCUUUAAGUCUGAUGUGAAAGCCCACGGCUCAACCGUGGAGGGUCAUUGGAAACUGGGGGACUUGAGUGCAGAAGAGGAAAGCGGAAUUCCACGUGUAGCGGUGAAAUGCGUAGAGAUGUGGAGGAACACCAGUGGCGAAGGCGGCUUUCUGGUCUGUAACUGACGCUGAGGCGCGAAAGCGUGGGGAGCAAACAGG
This 253-nucleotide ribosomal RNA is filed under the name uncultured bacterium. RNAcentral's name for it is "partial 16S ribosomal RNA". It matches the Rfam family "Bacterial small subunit ribosomal RNA", at positions 524 to 776 of the family's 1533-position model. The record is from RNAcentral.